CCGCCUUGGCAUUAGCCUGUUACGUCGCCGCUCUUGUAUGGUUUGGUCUCGACGUGUACCCGCGAAUAUAAACAAGGCUCGUCGGGUGGAAAAAGGGAGAGGAAGCUUCGAUUCCAACCGCGUCUGAUCUGCGUAACAAGCCUCGCAUGGCCAUCAGUCGAGAGGAUCCACCCUCUUUGGACGAGGAACCCGUGCACCCCCUUCUGGGUUUCCUAACGAUGUGCUAACAAAAUACGAGCCGUGGAUAAAGAGCCUUACGUUUCGAGGAGGAACGUAAGCAGAUUGACGAGGAGACGACGUUAUGUCGGGCGGAAUGAGAGAGGAAGGAAAAAAGAAAGAAAGGGGGAAAAGAAAGGAAGAAGGAGAGAGAGAGAGAGAGAGAGGACAAAUAUAAGAGGUUGCAGAGGGGUUAGGUCUAAGACCAUGGAAAUGAUUUCUUCUUCUUACCCUUCUCGGAACGGGCUGCUUUCCACCCCUUAAUUAUCCGACUGACAAUUAUUUUUAACGACUCCGCGAUAUCCUUAACGAGACUUAAUCCGCCUACGUGGCGUCUCUUUCGAUGGGAACAGUUGAAUGGAAUGGCGAGGGGGAGGAGGUUGGUAAUUGAGUUGUGUAUUGUGUAAGGUAUUAAUGGAAUUUCUGUUAAUUGAUGAGGUGUGGCGAAGAAGGAUAGAAUGGAUAGGUUUUGAUUAGAAGACUAUCGAAUUAUUUCGAUUUAUCAGUUGAUUAAUUUACCAUAUUGUUAAUAUCGUAUUGUUGUUGAUGAUUAUUGUUGUAGUGAUAAACAUUGGAAUAUAAGAAUAUAUAUAUAAAAGAUGUUUUCAUUAUAACAUUAUUGAAAUGAAUUUGUGAAUUAUAUAUAUUCGUCUCGGAAUGAAAAAGUAUGAAAUAAUCGAAGGAAUUGAAAGAAACGAUGGAAUUUUAUUUUUCAAAAUAAAAUUAAUUAAGUUAUUUAAAAAAAGUUGCACAUGCAAAAUACUUAUUCUUCGACAUCUUUAAACGAAAGAUAUGAUGUUUACAAAUAUUUUUCAAUAUUUUAACAUUUAACAUGAUGAUUAUGUCCCUUAUACUUACUUUUUAUAAACUUUCUGUAAUUAGAAUCAAUAAGAAUACGAAAUAUAAUAGAAUCUUUUCGUAAAAUUUACGAAUACUUCGUUCGUUAUUAAAUUCUAGAAAAAUUCUUGAAGAAGAUUCUACUAAAUUCUAUUAAAUUUUCAAAGUAAGAAUCACACGAAUAAUAACUCUUUAUCGAUCAAUUCAAUGAAAACAAAUCAGGAAAAUUCCUUGCCACGUUCCCACGUUACAAUCGGCGCAAACAAUCGCCACAAUUGCACAAAACAGGGCAAAGUGGCGAAGCAUGACCAUCAUCGUGAUCACGUGAGGGAGUGCACUCCUAUUUUCGAUCGGUAUUACAGCACGAUAAUUACAGUACGAUAGACGACUUCCCACGUCCGGCACGCCUCGUUCAUUAAGUCGUAGCUUAAUGAUAUCUGCAAUCUGUUGUACUCUAUACUAUGGUUAUGCCAAUGUGCCAUGAUAGUACGAUACGUUAGUCAAUCGCGAUCAUUUUGUUAUUUAGCAUGGUUGCUGAUAUAUCUGUCGUGUCACAUUAAAUAUGUAUAUCAUUAGUUUUAACGAUUAUGAUGAUUGAUCUGUUGAGUAAGGUUGAGCAUAUUUUAAGUGAAAUUAUUUGAGAUGUUUAUUUUAAAUAACAUGUGUUAUUUGUUUGAUCAUUAUUUUAAUGUUAUCUCAUAUUUAUCUAUAAUUUUAAUGAAAAUAACAUCAUUAUAUAUGAUUUAUAAUUGAUUGUGAUUAUUUCUUUUUUAUUUCUUUCAAAUUUAAAAUAAUUAAUUAUUUUGGAUUUGGAUAAUAAUAUUAUUAAGAAUAAGAAUCUGGAAUAAAUUGCUUCGAAUAGUUACUUCAAUUUCGAAUUAAAAACAUAUUUGAGAUUAAAGUUAUAAAAAUGAUGAAUAUUUUAAAUAUUGUAAUUUAUUCAUUCGAAAAUAUUUAUAAAUAUUUUUCUUCAGGUUAUAGACUCUAUAAAAUGGGAUUUGAAUUAUUCAUCGAAAUAGAUAUACAUAUAUAUAUAUAUUGAUAUAUUGUUAGAAAGCUCUUUUCAUGCUGAUUAUAAAUAUAUAAAAAAAUUUUAUUCGUAAAUAAUGACAAUAAUAAAUUUGAAACAUUUAAUACUUUUAAUAUUUAAUAUUUUAUUAUAAUAUACCGAUAAAUAUCACCAAUUAACAUUGAAGUUAAAAAAAAUAUAUAUAUUUUAUUAUAACAUUUGUACUACAAUAUAUCACAAUAAUCACAAUAAACAUUGUUAGAAGUGA
Molecule: long non-coding RNA, 2330 nt
Organism: Apis cerana (Asiatic honeybee)
Lineage: Eukaryota; Metazoa; Arthropoda; Insecta; Hymenoptera; Apidae
Source: RefSeq, a predicted model, not a curated record